UUCAGCUUAGAUUCUGAAUAAUACACAACGGUGUUAGUUCUACAUAUGUAGAUAUUUGGCUUUGGCGUCGAAAAGCUUUGGAUAAAGUCGUGCCCCACGCAACUCUCCCGUUCAUGUAUUCAGCAUUGACUUUGGAGAUUCGCUAUUGAUGCUAUCGAAAAUCCAGUUCAUGUAAGAGCUGACAGCCGUAUAAACGCCCGGUACGGUGGUAACGCCGCAUAGAGUUGGUCCAAAGGCGACAAUCCCUAGCAGCGUAUAACGCCCAUCGGCGUUGAGUAUGCCGGAUGUGCCAUCGUCCAUGAAGGGACCGCCACUGUCGCCGCGACAAACAUCGUUCAUGGGCUGGCCCUGGGCGCACAGAUGGCUCGGCGUGAUGACAAUCGGCUGCUGGAAGUUCUCGCUGAGCGUGGCAUAGGUAAUUGCGCAACUGGUCGUAUUGACUAUGGGCAAUCUUAUGAACCUCACAGAGGCUGUGCUGGCUGGGCUGCUCGAAGUAUUAUCUGUAACGGAGUAGGCGAAUUAAUCAGUAUAUACAUAUGUCGUCUGCUAACUGUUUUCAUUCUAUUCCGUUUAUUUAAUAUUUUAACAACAUACUCUCCAUUUUUGUGCUCCAACCAGCCACCACGCCCAUUUGCCCGAUCAAUCUAUCUGCGAGAGCUGCUGUGCUGUUCAGAGAGCUAGCAAAAUGAGUAAAGGAUGCCCCUGUAAAAGUGCGUCCGACUUAAGUACUAGUUGCGCUUACUGUCCUCCGGGCAAGGUUCCAUAUGUUCAGAAUGAUAUUGGGAGCCAAGAUCAAACCUAUGGCGAUUCUGGAAGCUAUCAAAAUUACAAUCAAUACAACAACCCUCCCUAUAAUAAUAAUAAUCAAUAUAAUAAUCAAUAUCCAUACAAUAAUCAAUAUAAUAAUGGCCAAAAUAAUAAUUAUCCAUAUAACAAUCAAAACAAUAACUAUCCAUAUCCGUAUAAUAACAAUCAAUAUCCUGACAAUCAAUAUAACUACAGCCCGUAUGGGCCAGCUAGCGAGUAUUCCUAUGGAAGCAACAAGGGGGGCCAGUUUACAGACGAGCCGCAAGGAUUUGAACUUAGCGAAGGCGCGGUUUCACUUCUCAAGGCAGUUGCUGUUUUCUGCACUGGUUGUUUUCUCACCAUGAAGAUGACUGGUGUGGCAAACGAGCUGGGAUAAACUGUUUUUUAAACUGUUUUGUUUUGUUUUGUGCCUAAAUGUAUUCUAAUCCAAGGACGAGGACCAUCUCCGAAAAUACCACACACACUUACGAAUUUAUACACAAAUUUCAAUUGGAUGUCAUUAAAAAUUGUUGCGUUUAAAA
Drosophila montana is the source of this 1328-nucleotide long non-coding RNA. RefSeq lists it as uncharacterized. The transcript is spliced from 3 exons. The record is from RefSeq and is a predicted model, not a curated record. NCBI's taxonomy places the organism in Eukaryota, Metazoa, Arthropoda, Insecta, Diptera, Drosophilidae.